UAUUGGUUGUUAUGGCGGCCUAAUCGUUACAAUUAAAACACACCACAUUUGACAUCGGAUUGGCUAAACGUUUCUGACCGAAGGUUGUCCGCCAUGUUCAUUGGUUAAGCUUUCUUCGAAACAACCCGCCUACUUUAUUCAUUGGCUCAAAUAAUGUACUGAAAGGGAGGGGGCUGGCCUCAUUUCAGAGGGGAAAUAUAAACCGUUUGCUCUCAUUGCGCAUGUCAAAAAUAAAAGGAUCAUUCGCCAUUUUGUUCCCGACGCAGAUAUUUUUGACUACUGACGCUGUGCUCUGCUAUGUGGAGUGCCAAUGAACAGAUGACACAGAAUGACAGGAAACUGGACACAUUUCACUGUUGAGUAAAUCAGUGAAGCAAACUGCUCUAUCAAGAGGAGCACAUUAGCAUUUACAGAAGACCUAACCAGUGCAGAUGGGACGGUCACCUGCCCUGCAUAAAGCAUGGAGCGUCGCGUCCAUUAUGUUUUGAAGAUGCAUCCGAUGACUCAGAGGUAGCACAGGAUAUGCAAAUUCAAAUAGGCAAAACUUUCUCCAAGUACAAGUUCCUCUUACAUGGUUUCACCACCUGCUUUGCUCGUUCCAGUCAGAUUCACACAUUUAUAGGAGGUUAUGUCACACUUUUUCUGGAUUGUAAAGACAGUAAUUUUGGAAGCGCUAAAAUGGGCAGUGGUUCAGUAGAGGUUCUGUUAGUGACUGGUAGGAUACAAGUUCAAAUCCCCAGUCUGCCAGAAAAGAACUGUAUAACAAAGCCCUUAUCCUCAGUCACUGGAUUACAUUCUUCCUCACUCGAGUUAUUCUGCCAGGAUAAACUGCACAAAAACCUGGGAAACUGUAAAAAUGUGCACUAUUUGUACAGAUAGGAAUUCAUUUUUAUAAACAUUAACAAUGGAAAGACAAGACGAGCCUUAACAUGUGAAUCUCACUUCUCACUCUCCUUUAAAUGCUUUGUUUUGUGUUUGGGAACUUAAGCAUUUCACUUAACUGUCUCACAGUUCCAACCCACAGCAUGCACACUUAAGAAUAGAGGAAAUAUGUUGUUUGGAUAUGCACUGGGAGAAAGGGCUGCUUGUUCUAAUUUCCUCAUUUUGUUUUACAUAUCUCAUGUCCACAUUUUUAGAACAUGCAGUUGAAGAUUUAAGUGUCAGGGGGACAAGGCAUUUCUGCUACCUCUCACUCCAACACACACCACUAUAAUAGUGCAGGCCUAGUACUUAUUAUUAAUUUAGUAAUUUCCAUCAUUACAUAUAGGUCUAUAUCUCAGUUGAAACACACAAAUGAGGAACUCUGCCGUUAUGGGGGCACAGAACUCAACACCAGUGGGCAUGCUGCAUCAGAGUGUUACUGUGAUCAUUGUAGCCCUAAUAUAGCAGUAUGUGAUUAUCUCUGCAUGACAUGUUCAGCUGUUUUUGAAAUAAGUUUACAGAGUAAUGAACAGCCUGAUUGUGAAAUAUUUACAGCAGUUCUCUUAAGAGAGUAUUGCACAAUGUAUCACAAUGUCUAGUAUUCCAUUCUUUUAGAAAUCAGGGUACCAUCUGCAUUUACACUCACUGACCACUUUAAUAGGAACACCUGUAGACCUGCUCAUUCAUGCUGUUAUUCGAUUAGACACUCAUGUGUCAGUAGCACAACGCAUAAAAUCAUGCAGGUACAGGGCAUGACUUUUGGUUAAUGUUUAAAUCACUUUUUUUUUUUUGUCAUUCUAACGUUUGAUCUGUGACCUUGAACAUGGCAUGGUUGUUAUAUUUCAGAAACGGCUGAUCUCCUGAAGUUUUGACUCUGCAUUGUGUAGAGUUUACUUACAGUAGAAUGGGGCAAACACAUCAUCCCCCCCCCCAACUGUUCUGUUUUUGUGAGCCUGUGCCCAUUGUAGCCUCAGAUUCCUGUUCUUGGCUGACAGGAGUGGAACCCAGUGUAGUCUUCUGCUGUUGUAGUCCCCAUCAAAGUUUAGCAUGUUGUGUGUUCUGCUCACCAGGCCUGUAAAGAGUGGUUACCAUAGACUUUCUGUUGGCUUAAAUCAGUGUAGCUAUUCUGACCUCCUUUGACCUCUGAAGGCAUUUCCACCUACAGAACUGCUGCUCACUGGAUGUUUUCCCCCUGAUUUUUAUGUAUUGCUCUACUGCCACACUAUUAGCUGAUUUGGAUAAUUAAUAAUGAUUAUUAUUUAAUUAAUUAAAUAAUAAUGUGCGGGUAUUUCUAAUAAAGUAGACAGUGAAAUGUAUAUUGACUUGUCAUUCCUGUUUCUGAAUACAGUGAUUUCCUGGCCCAAGGUUACCUCAGAGACUUUUAGCCAAUCAGAGCUAAUGUUUUUGGUGUGAUUGUUUGCUGAAUCUACAUGUGCUACAUGAACAACAGUAACCAGUCAAUGACAAACCUCAGUCCC
Molecule: long non-coding RNA, 2399 nt
Organism: Ictalurus furcatus (blue catfish)
Lineage: Eukaryota; Metazoa; Chordata; Actinopteri; Siluriformes; Ictaluridae
Exons: 3
Source: RefSeq, a predicted model, not a curated record